RNAcentral lists this long non-coding RNA (10593 nucleotides) under Homo sapiens (human). RNAcentral's name for it is "HSALNT0390456". Lineage: Eukaryota; Metazoa; Chordata; Mammalia; Primates; Hominidae. The record is from RNAcentral.
GCCGUCUCACCUGCCCCCACCCACGGCGCCGUCGGAUCCCAGAGCGGCUGGUGCAAGCUUAAAGUGUUGCUGCCAGACCUUUCUUCUCUUCUAAUUUACCAAGUGAAGAAUGUUGAAAUAUCCAACUAUAAUUUGUGGAUUUCUCCUUUCAAUGCUAUCAUUUUUGGUGCUUCAUGUAUUUUUGAAGCUCUAUUAUUAGCGGAGACCUGAAAGCAGCUUAGCCAUGAGCAGCGCUCAAAUAAGGAAAGAAAUUCUUUGCAAUAAAUAGGGAUCUUUGAAAGGUUUUACGUUGGACCCGCCUUACCGUGGACAGACACUAGAGGGUGCUCCUCGCUCAGAAAGCCGAGUGUUUCCAGGCCCGGGACCUCUGCCAGGAAGCGCUUCGACUGCCGGUUCUGAAACUCUCUCUUUGGGUCUGGUAAUUUACUGGGGAGAACUGGCUGCUGCCUUGGUUCUGAAACUAAAGGCUUUUUACGGAAGUAGGAGGAGACUGCAAGAGGCUAUAUGGAGCAGAAAUGUGGCUCCUUCAAACUUUCACCAAUUGGCGUUCUGCCGGACUGUGACUUGGAGGAUUCCAGCAGUGUCUCAUUCACCCAUGAGCCCCAGGGUCUAGCACACAUAGUGUCUGGCAGACAGUGAGCGCUUUGUAAAUAUUUAUGGAAUGGGACCAACCGAUGGAGGCGUCUGAGACCUAAAUAAUUAUAAUUACAAAUUGGCAAGUGCUGGCACGAUGACCACAGACCAUUAAGGGCGCUCCCAGAAGAGUGGGGGCUGGGGAGGAUUGGCCAGAAUGGCUUCCUGAAAUUCAGGAGCCCUGGCACUCUCUGGGGUACACAGAAAAGAUCUUCCACAUCCGGCUUUUGGAUAUUUAAAAACAGCUUCAUGCUCCAUUUUUUUCAUGUCCUUCCUGUGGAAUGAUUUCUAGGCUUUUCACUAAGUUGAUCGCUCCCUGCAGACUUGUAGGAAGGCAAAUAAUAGGUUAGCACCUACUGGGUUCAAGCAUCUCCUAUGAUCUCCAUUAUCUGAUUUAAUUGUGUCUUUAUCUCAUUUAAUCCCCACAACAACUCUCUGAGACUAAGGCUAUUAUCCACAUUCUACAGAUUAGAACUUGGUAAGGUUUGAUAACUGGCCCAAGAUCACACCAUUAGGGAGUGACAGGACCAGUAUUUGAACCCAGAUAGUCUAGCAGCAAAAGAUGCUUUUAAAAAUUUUCACUUAAAAGAAUAACAACAACAGCAACUAACAGUAUGGAGGGGGCCAGAUAGUUUUCUGUGUUUUACAUUUAUUAACUCAUUUAAGUCAUUUAAUUGCUAUACACCUAGAUGUCAUCCUUUCUAUUAAUACAUUGUUAGUACUGAAAAGUGAAGAGAAUGAUACAACAAACACCCAUGUACUCAUCACCUGGCAUGAAAAAAAGGUUAAUGUUAAAGUUGAUAUUAUCCAGCCACAACAAUCUUGAAAAAGAACAAAGUUGGAGAACUUGGCCCAGUGCGGUGGCUCAUGCUUGUAAUCCCAGCAUUUUGGGAGGCCAAGGCGUGUGGAUUGCUUGAGCCCAAGAGUUCAAUACCAGCCUGGGCAACAUGGUAAAAAUACAAAAAAUUUCUACAAAAAAAAAAGUUUCUACGAAAAAAAUACAAAAAUUAGCCUGGUGUGGUGGUGCUCGCCUGUGGUCCCAGCUACUCAGGAGGCUGAGGUGGGAGGAUCACCUGAGCCCAGGGAGGUUGAGGCUGCAGUGAGCCAAGAUAGCACCACUGCACUCCAGCCUAGGCAAAAGAGCAAGACCUUGUCUCAAAAAAAAAAAAAAAAAAAAGUUGGAGAACUUACACUUUCCAAGUUCAAAAGCUACAGUAAUGAAAACAAUGUGGUACUGGCAUAAGGAUCAACAUGUACAUCAAUGGAAUAGAAUUGAGAGUCCAGAAAUAAACCUGUAUGUUUACGGUCAAGGUAUCAAGACAAUUAAAUAAGGAAAUAAGUUUUUUUCCCCACAAAUAGUGCUGGGACAUCUGGAUAGCCACAUGCAAAAGAAUGAAUUUGGACUCCUAUCUUUUAUUGUCUACAAAAAUUAACUCAAAACGAAUCAAAGACCUAAAGAUAAGAACUAAAACUAUAAAACUCUUAGAAAAAACAUAGGUGUAAACCUCUAUGACCUUGGAUUAAGCAAUGGUUUCUUACAUACAACACCAAAAGCACAAUCAACUGAAGAAAAAAUAAAUCAAUUAGACUUCAUCAAAAUUAAAAAUUUGAGUGUCAAGGCCCUAUCAAAGUUAAAAGAUAAAUCACGGAAUGGGAGAAAAUUUUUGCAAAUCAUAGAUCUGGAAAGGAUCUUGUAUCCAGAAGAUAGAAGAGCUGUUUUUCUGUUGUUGUUGAGACAGAGUCUUGCUCUGUCAUCCAGCCUAAAGUGCAGUGGCAUCAUCAUAGCUCACUGCAGCUUCCACCUCGUGGGCUCAAGCAAUCCUGUCACCUCAGUCUCCCGAGUAGCUGGGACUGUAGGUGUGCACCACCAUGCCUGGAUAACUAAAAAAAAUUUUUUUUAUAGACGAGCUCUCACUAUGUUGCCCAGGAUGGUCUUGAACUCUUGGCCUCAAGCGAUACUCCCACCUCUGCCAUCCAAAGUGUUGGGAUUAGAGUGAGCCACCUCAUCCAGCCUAUAAGAACUCUUGUAAUUUAAUAAUAAAAAGACAAAUAACCCAAUUUAAAUUUGGGCAAAUGACUGGAAUAAGCAUUUCUCCAAAGAAGAUAUACAAAUGCCAAGAAGCACAUGAAAAGAUAGUCAGCAUCAGCCAGGCAUGGUGGCUCAUGCCUAUAAUCCUAGCACUUUGGGAGGCCAAGGCAGGUGGAUCACCUGAGGUCAAGAGUUUGAGACCAGCCUGGCCAACAUGGUGGCACCUCGCCUCCACUAAAAAUACAAAAAUUAGCCAGGUGUGGUGGCAGAUGUCUGUAAUCCCAGCUACUCAGGAGGCUGAGGCAAGAGAACUGCUUGAACCUGGAUGGUGGAGGUUGCAAUGAGCCAAGAUCGCACCACUACACUCCAGCCUGGGCAACAAGAGCAAAACUCCAUAUCAAAAAAAAAAAAAAAAAAAAGAUACUCAGUAUCAUUAACCAUUAGGGAAAUGCAAAUCAAAACUUUCAAACCCACUAGCAUGGCUAUAGUUUAAAAGACAAUAACUAGUAUUAGCAAGGAUGUAGACAAAUUGGAACCCUCAUAAAUCACUAGUGGGAAUAUAAAUAGGUGCAGCCUCUGUGGAAAAUGGUUUGGGAGGUCUUCAAAAAGUUCAAUAUAGAGUUACCGUAAGACCUAGAAAUUCCACUGCUAGCUAUAUACCCAAAAUAAUUGAGAACAUUAUAUAUACUUGUACAUGAGACCAGGAGCAGUGACUCACACCUAUAAACCCAGUACUUGGGGAGGCCAAGGCAGGAGGAUCCCUUGAGCCCAGGAAUUUGAGACCAGCCUGAGCAACAUAAUGAGAUCCUAUCUCUACAAAAUAUAAAAAAUCAGCUGGAUGUGGUGGUGUAUGCCUAUAAUUCCAGCUACUGGGGAGGCUGAGGUGGGAGGAUCGCUUGAGCAGAGGAGUUGGAGGCUGCAGUGAGCUAUGAUCAUACCAUUGCACUCCAGCCUGGGUAACACAGCAAGACUCUGUCUCAAAAAAAAAAAAAAAAAAGGUGUAGCUGGAUGCAGUAGCUCACGCCUGUAAUCCCAGCACUUUGGGAGGCCAAGGCGGGCAGAUCACGUGAGGUCAGGAGUUUGAGACCAGCCUGGCCAACAUGGUGAAACCCUAUCUCUACUAAAAAUACAAAAAUUAGCUGGAAGUGGUGGCGCACACCUGUAAUCCCAGCUACUCAGGAAGCCAGGAUGGGAGAAUCGCUUGAACCCAGGAGGUGGAGGUUGCAGUGAGCCGAAAUUGUACCACUGCACUCCAGCCUGGCCAAUAAAAUGAGAUUCUGUCUCAAAAAAAAAAAAAAAAAGAUACAUAUACAUAUACAUGAAUGCUCAUAGCAGCAUUAUUUAUAAUGACCAAAAGGUGGAAAUGUAUCAGUCCAUUCUCACACUGCUGUAAAGAAUUGCCUAAGACUGGGUAAUUUAUAAAGGAAAGGGUUUUAAUUGACUCACAGUUCCGCAUUGCUGGGGAGACCUCUGGAAACUUACAAUCAUGGCAGGAAGCAAAGGAGAAACAGGCACCUUCUUCACAGGGUGGCAGGACGGGAGUGAGUGCAAGCAGGGGAAAUGCCAGAUGCUUAUAAAACCAUCAGAUCUCCUGAGACUCACUCAUUAUCAUGAGAACAGCAUGGGGGAAACCACCCCCAUGAUCCAAUUACCUCUACCUGGUCCCGCCCUUGACAUGUGGGAUUAAUACAAUUCAAGGUGAGGUUUGGGUGGGGACACAGAGCCAAACCAUAUCAGGGAACAACCCAGGUGUUUAUCAGUCGACGAGUGGAUAAACAAAAUGUGGUCUGUUCAUGCAGUGGAAUAUUAUUCUACCAUAAAAAGGAAUGAAGUACUGAUACAAGCUACAGCAUGGAUGAACCUUGUAAACACUAUGCUAAGUGAAAGAAGCCAGUCACAAAAGGCCAUAUAUUAUAUGAUUCCAUUUAUAUUAAAUGUUCAGAUAGGCACAUUCAUUGAGAUCUGUGGUUGUCAGGGGCUAGAAGUAGGGAGUAAUGAGAAAUGACUGCACACAGGCACAGGUUCUGGAAUUGGAUAGUAGUGAUUGUUGAACCGCCUUGUGAAUCUGCUAAAAAACACUGAGUCAUACAUUUGUAAAUGGUGAAUUUUAUAGUAUAUGAAUUAUAGCUCAAUAAAAAAAGAGAGAGAAAAAAGUUGAUAUUUUCUUCAUAGAUAGCUCCAUGGUUCUCAAACAUUUUGGUCUCAAAACCCCUUUAGACUCUUAACAAUUACUGAGGGCCCCAAAAAGCUCUUGUUUAUGUAUUUUGUUUUUGUGUGCUUAUGUUCAAUAUCCAUUGACAUUUACCAUGUUAGAAAGUAAAACAGAAAUUUGUAAAAAUAUGCAUUAUUUCCUUUAAAAUAGCAUUAAUAAACCAUAUGCUGUACAUGUUAUCAUAAAUAACAGUUGAAAAAUAAUUGUAUUUUCCAAAACAAAAGAAUUAGUGAGAAGAGUGACAUUGUUUUGCAUUUUUGCUGUCAAAUGUCUGGCUGAGUAGAAGAUAGCUGCAUUCUCUUACCUGCUUCUACUUACAUUCAAUGUGUUGAGAUAUGUUGUUUUGGUUGAAAUAUAUGAAAAAAGUCUGUCUUCACACAGAUACGUGGUUGAAAAAAGGAAGACUAUCUUAAUAGCCUUUUCAAAUAAUUGUGGAUAUUUUUCUUAGAUUACAUACCAAAACUGGACAAGUAUAGUUUCUUAAAGGUUAAUUGCAAUGUGGAACCUGAAACCAUAAACUUUUCAAUUGGUCUAUCAUGAUCAUGUACUUUUUUUUUUUUUUUUUCAGACAGAGUCUUACUUUGUCGCCCAGGCUGGAGUUCAGUGGCACAAUCAGGGCUUACUGCAGCCUCAACCUUCCAGGCUCGAGUGAUCCUCCCUGCUCAGCCCCUGGUGGGACUACAGGGAUGCGCCACCAUGCCCAGCUAAUUUUUUUUUAGUAGAGAUGGGUUUUUGCCUGCCUGCCUGCUUUCCUUCCUUCCUUCCUUCCUUCCUUCCUCCCUUCCUUCCUUCCUUCCUUCCUUCUUCAGGGUCUUCCUCUGUCACUCAAACUGGAGUGCAGUGGUAUUAUCUCAGCUUACUGCAACCUCCACCUCCCGGGUUCAAGCAAUUCUCAUGCCUCAGCCUCCCAAGUAGCUGGGAUCACAGGUAUGUGUCAUGAUACCUGGCUAAUUUUUGUGUUUUUUCUAAAGAUGGGGUUUCGCAAUGUUGACCAGGCUGAUCUUGAACUCCUGGCCUCAGGUGAUCCACCCACUUCGGCCUCCCAAACUGUUGGGAUUACAGGCGUGAGCCAUCAAGCCUGACCUCAAGUUCCCUCUUUCUAAUCUGGAAUUGAGAAUAGCACUAGCAUCCAGGCCCACCUCAAAGGGUCAGACUGAAGUUCAGAUGGCCCAAGGAUGCACUAGAAAGUUCUUUAUGCAAUGUAAAUGAGAGUUGCCUACUCUUGUCAGGCUCAAGUACCUUCACUCUACAGGCAACUGGCUACAGGCUUCUCACCCUGAGCGGUGGUCAGCUCAGCCAACUCACCCUCUCCACCCUCCUCCCUCCCUCCUUUUUCACAGGAAACUUAAGAGUCAGAUCUCUUCCACUGCAAAUGGAGAUUCUUGAUUUGGAGAGAAUAAGAUAAAGGACCUGACAUCAAUCCUUACUCUUGAAAGCAUGUUGUUACUUUCUAAAUAUUAUUGAAAUUAAAAAAAAAAAAUCUUCCCCCCAAAUCAGUAUAUUUGAAUUGCUAACAAGCCUCUCUGCCUUGUUUUUAUCUCAAAGAAUAAAAUGCUGAGCCCUGCGUGGGAUGCUAGAUGCUAGAGAACUCCCCCAUCUCUCUCUCUCUCUCUCUCUCUCUCUCUCUCUCUCUCUCUCUCUCUCUCUCUCAGUUCUGAACAAGGAGGGAAGGGGUAAAGAGUCCUUAGUGAGCGCCUUCUGCAGGGACAACCCUUCUGGACCCAUCUGGAUGGGAGCAGCCAGGAGAGGCAAGAAGCAGCUGUAUUUGGUGGCACUGCCACAGCGUCUCCUCAGCCCCAGCAAGUGGCCUUUGGUCUAGAGUUGGUCCAUCUGGCCCGCACAAGGCUCGAAUCCAGCCCUAGAGACGCUCCCCGCCUGCUCCAGGUGGCCGGCACCCUAGACGGGGCAGGAAGGGCAGGCGCCAAGCCUCAAGUCUCAAACACGGUGCGGGGCUGCGCGGCAAGGAGAAACCCAGGAGAUGCUCGGGGUCGGGGCCCAGGGCAGGGAAAACCCUCAGCUCUGGUCAAAAGCCAAGUGAGCGAAGGAGGCGAUGCAACGUCACCCUGGUGGCCAAGGCAGGCACCCAGGUCUCGAGGUUCCAGGAGAGGGACGCGCUGUGACCACCAGCCCCCUAGGCUCCUGUCUGCUCGAUGAGCGUCCACUCGCCAGUUCCAGCCGCGAGCGCCCCCAGCACUCCCGGAGCUGGGCCGGGCGCCGCCUUCCCUCGGGCGGCCGGCAGGGGUCAGUGUUUGGCCGCAGGUGAACAGACAGCGGCCGGGGCUGAAUCUGGUUCUUCUAGCUGGGUCUUGCCCCUGCCAAUCUGUCUGGACUUGUCCCCUGGCCGUUAACUGGGUUCUAGCCUAUCGAGACUCCUCAUAUUCUCCCCACCCCCGACCACUACCUCCAUACUGUCCUUCCUAAGUCACCAGGCCUGCACCCUUCCAGAAGCAUAGAUCCCUGGAUACAUGGAUAAUUACUUCCUGGCCUUAUACCAGACAGUGAUGCGAGACUGGAAAGAGGACAUGGCACGGAGUCAGAAGAUUUGAGUUCAAGUUCCUGCUCUGCCAAUUACCAGCUGUGUGAUCUUGGUCCAGCCGAGCUGCCAUCUCUUCAAGGAAGUUUUCCCUGAAGCCCUCAGGUAGACCCGUUUUUCCAUGGCGGCCACAUCAGCAUGCAGCACAUUUAAUUGGAAGUCUCCACAUAUGAGUUGGUUUUCCUUACUUAAAAUAUGCUUAUCAUCCCUUGGAGGUAUUGACUGCUGCCUCAUGAAGGCUGGUCCUGUCUCUAUAGUGAAUAUUGUGCACCUCAGGGUAGAAUGGAGAGCAGAAGACUUCAAAUCAGGCAGUCUGGGUUCAGACCCCAAUUCUAGUGCUAAAUAGCUACGUGACUUUAGGCCGAUUGUGUGUGACUUCCCUGAGCCCCAGUCUCUUUGCCUGCAAAAUGAGAAAAAUUAUAACAAUGUCAUCGGUUGUUCUGAGGAUUCUGAGAGGAAUUAGUAGGAGAGAGAACUAAGAAGCUGCGGGCCUCUACAGAGCCAUUCAACUGGCAUUUCGGAAGAUGUUGCCCAUCAGAGUCAGACCUUCUUAGCAUCUUCCGGCUGGGCCCAAACUUCCCAAGACCAUUUGGACAAGGUCAUCUCUAUCCCACCAUGGCCUCCUCCCAGAGGAGGAGAAGAAUCAUGCUGUUACAGCAGAACCGAAGAUUUGGGCAAGGGAGCUAAUGAUUAUGUUCUGCGUCAGGUCAGAGAUGGGCUGGGAAAGCCACUCCAAAGCCAAGACAAGCAGUUUCCUGGAAAAAGAAGGCUGCGCGGAGCCCAGAGUGGCCUGGAUCCUGCCUCAUUUCCUGGACCAGCUCCUUAGGUGGUUACUGGAUUGCCAAUAAAGCAGAGCUUAUUAAAGUCAACGAGCUCAGGCUUCAUCGCCGCCAUGGUAUCCAAGCACCAGUCUGUCUGGGAUUUCAUUUGCCAGAUGGACAAAGGAGAGGUUGUUCCAAUACAUAUCCUGAGUGGUGGGGGUGGGGAGAGAAGGGGAAGAAUGCUCUCUAGAGAAUUCUCUUUGUCCUCUGAAGUAAAUAGAGAUCAUGUCUUCCCCAGCCACACUCAGUGAUCUGAAUCUCUUGGACUGUGGAUUUUUCCUUUACCUGCUGUGAAGCCUUGAAAAGUAUGAAUUAGCUUGAUAAUGAUCCUCUAAAGAUGUUCAAGAGUUAAAGACGUGUUUAAGUUCUUCAGGCAAUCCAAUAUGACUACGGGUUUCCAAAAAUUUGAAGGAAACUGAAAAUCAUAGUUCCCAAACCAGAUAUUUUCCGGUGUCCAGAUGUUCACUGGCAUGCAAACCAAAUGUCUGGAUUAUGAGCUCCUUUUUUCAUUUCUUUUUAUCAGCUUACAUCCAGAUGUUGGAUCCAACUGGUCAGAGGCCUGGGGCAGAGACAGAAAUCAAAUCUAGGGUGUUCAUCUAGAGUCUCCUGCUCCUCCAUUCCUGCUUCCUCCUCACGCUGCCCCCACAUCCUCCCCAACUCACCUUCAUGCUACAUCUCGGCAAAUACAGCUCAUAUCCAGGCACGGUGCAGCCCUUGACAGCUGGGUCCGCAAAGGCAGAUCGGGUAUAUCUUUAAAGAAAAGUUAUCUUAACCAUUGAGAAGCCUUCCUUCCUCAGAGGAGAGCACCUCCCCAGCAGACCUCCGAGGAGACCAAGGGCAGGACAGGAAGGGUGAAAGGAAGUUUCAGGACUGCAGGAAAUAAGAGCUUGGAGGUCAAGGGAGAGAUCAGAUAAAACAUGAAUCUGAUCAGCAUCCUAGUGGUCUAGAGUGGAGACAAUCUGCGGAGUCAACCUCAGUAAGGACACACAUAGAGAAGAACCAAAGCCUCUAAAGACGAAGCUGAGAAGUGUACGGUCGUAGAAGACUCGUGUCUGUUAUUCUUAAAAGCUCAAGGAGAUGUUCUGCCAAUUGAAUGGAAACUGUCCAUAGUGGGGAGCAGAGAGCCUCAUCUUUUCUGGAACUGAACAUCCAUCCUUAAGGCCAGAUUUCUCCCAUCACCAACUUUAACUCCUGCCCUAGCCCUCUCUCUUCCUUUUCAAAACCCUCUCCACCCAGGAAGGGAGAUUCUGGAGCCAAGACUGUACCAGCCACACCUCCCCAGAGUUGUUAAGGAAGGAACUCGAAGCCAGGGGUGGUCUUCUGGCAAGCACCCCCACUACCAGUAGCAGGACAGAUGUGUUUCUAAUGGACUACACUAUCCCCGGAGGUCACAUGAUUCAGGCUGCCAAGGGUACCUGCCCUUGGGAAAUCAACUCCCGAAGAUAAAUUGGGAUUGGGUCCUGAGAAGAUCCAUGGAAGCCCAGAGGACCCUGCCUCUCUCUGUUGCUUCAUGCUGUAGAGGCAGUACUGGGGAGGGCCUGCCCCACAUCCGGCAGGGCAGCUGGAACCAUGUGUUUGAUGACACUCUGCUCCCUCAAUGUGGAGCCUCAUCCUCAUCUCACAGUCUAGCAGGCCUCUGGUGGGUUAGGCUUGUCUCACCCAGUGUGUGAGUUUUUUUGGAAGUGACCUGAUUUUGGAGUUUCCCUCCAAGCCUUUCUCAGGUACAUGCUUUCUCUUUUAUUCUGUCUUCUUUUUUUGAUCUUCUUAAAUCUGAUUUUCUCCUUUUUCCCUCUCUUGUCUCCAUCUUUUUUCCAGUCUCUCGCUUCUCUUUAUUUCUCCCCAUAUUUCACUCUGUUCUCUCACCCCAACCUUUCCCUUCUGUUUCUCUCCCUCCCUCUCUUCCCACCCCCUGCCUGGCCUUCCAUAUAUCAAGCAGAGUUUUAUCACCUUAUGCAGGGGCAGCCCUGCCACCUGCCAUAAAGUUGAUAGGCUAAUGACAUUUUGUGGAUAUUGCCAUGUCACAAGUCCAGGACAGCAUCAAAAAUAGCCCUGAUGUCUAAACCACUUCAGCUAUCUUUUUUAUUUUUAAAAUAAAUACAUUCACAUGCUUUUAAGAAACUAUAAAAAUAUAUAAAGUAAAAAGAUCUUUCUCUCACACUGUCUCCACCUCUCCUGGUCUCACCGUUGUGCUUAGGGGAAACCAUUGUGAUUAGUUUCUCCUGUGUCCUUCCAGAGUGUCUUUAUGCAAAUGAAAAUUAUUGUGAUAAUAUAUUCCUAUUUUCCCCCUUACUACACAAAAGAUAGACUACCAUAAUCCCAUUCUGCACUUUUUUUUCACUUGAUAAUAAAAACAUGAUUUUAUUAA